Molecule: long non-coding RNA, 478 nt
Organism: Cryptomeria japonica (Japanese cedar)
Lineage: Eukaryota; Viridiplantae; Streptophyta; Pinopsida; Cupressales; Cupressaceae
Exons: 3
Source: RefSeq, a predicted model, not a curated record
CUUGCCACUGUUCUCCCCCGGAAAUCUACAACACGACCACUUGUUAUUGCACCAAUCAUGGCACCUAUGGUCAGUAGGGAACUAAAGGUAGAAUGCUGCACAAGAACAUUAAGGAGAAUCCCAUCGUCACCAAGAAAGCUUGGGUAGAGGGAUGGGGCAUAUCUUCCAAGGCCAGUAUUGAUGCAGGACAUAAUUGUGUACUACUAUUGUUUAAAAAAGGAUCAUGUAGAUAUUUGUGAUGAUGAAGUUCUGGGAAUAUUCAUUAAAAGGUUGAUUUCAUCAAACCCAGGUAUGUUCUGGCAAUGGUCCAAUUGUUAUUGCUUGGGUAAUGAAAUAUUUGCACAGAUGUCAAGACCUUUUGUAAUUACCCAAUUUACUACAUUAUGAUUUAUCUUUACAUUUAAACUGUAUUAUAUCUCCAUCAGUUCUUAAUGUUGUAUACAUAAUGUUCAUUCCUUUUGGCUUUCAUUGAAGCUAC